Long non-coding RNA from Oncorhynchus keta (chum salmon), 1700 nucleotides. RefSeq lists it as uncharacterized. NCBI's taxonomy places the organism in Eukaryota, Metazoa, Chordata, Actinopteri, Salmoniformes, Salmonidae. The transcript has 3 exons. The record is from RefSeq and is a predicted model, not a curated record.
AUGUCUGAAGGUCAGGAUCAGGGAGGAGAGGUUUAUAUGUCUGAAGGUCAGGAUCAGGGAGGAGAGGAGAGGUUUAUAUGUCUGAAGGUCAGGAUCAGAGAGGAGAGGAGAGGUUUAUAUGUCUGAAGGUCAGGAUCAGGGAGGAGAGGUUUAUAUGUCUGAAGGUCGGGAUCAGGGAGGAGAGGUUUAUAUGUCUGAAGGUCGGGAUCAGGGAGGAGAGGUUUAUAUGUCUGAAGGUCAGGAUCAGGGAGGAGAGGAGAGGUUUAUAUGUCUGAAGGUCAGGAUCAGGGAGGAGAGGAGAGGUUUAUAUGUCUGAGGGUCAGGAUCAGGGAGGAGAGGUUUAUAUGUCUGAAGAUCGGGAUCAUGAAGGAGAGGAGAGGUUUAUAUGUCUGAAGGUCAGGAUCAGGGAGGAGAGGUUUAUAUGUCUGAAGGUCAGGAUCAGGGAGGAGAGGUUUAUAUGUCUGAAGGUCAGGAUCAGGGAGGAGAGGAGAGGUUUAUAUGUCUGAAGGUCAGGAUCAGAGAGGAGAGGUUUAUAUGUCUGAAGGUCAGGAUCAGAGAGGAGAGGUUUAUAUGUCUGACGGUCGGGAUCAGGGAGGAGAGCUUUAUAUGUCUGAAGGUCAGGAUCAGGGAGGAGAGGAGAGGUUUAUAUGUCUGAAGGUCAGGAUCAGGGAGGAGAGGUUUAUAUGUCUGAAGGUCAGGAUCAGGGAGGAGAGGUUAUAUGUCUGAAGGUCAGGAUCAGGGAGGAGAGGUUUAUAUGUCUGAAGGUCAGGAUCAGAGAGGAGAGGAGAGGUUUAUAUGUCUGAAGGUCAGGAUCAGAGAAGAGAGGAGAGGUUUAUAUGUCUGAGGGUCAGGAUCAGGGAGGAGAGGUUUAUAUGUCUGAAGGUCGGGAUCAUGAAGGAGAGGAGAGGUUUAUAUGUCUGAAGGUCAGGAUCAGGGAGGAGAGGUUUAUAUGUCUGAAGGUCAGGAUCAGGGAGGAGAGGUUUAUAUGUCUGAAGGUCAGGAUCAGAGAGGAGAGGUGUAUAUGUCUGAAGGUCAGGAUCAGAGAGGAGAGGAGAGGUUUAUAUGUCUGAAGGUCAGGAUCAGGGAGGAGAGGAGAGGUUCAUAUGUCUGAAGAUCAGGAUCAGGGAGAAGAGGUUUAUAUGUCUGAAGGUCAGGAUCAGGGAGGAGAGGUUUAUAUGUCUGAAGGUCGGGAUCAGAGAGGAGAGGUUUAUAUGUCUGAAGGUCAGGAUCAGGGAGGAGAGGUUUAUAUGUCUGAAGGUCAGGAUCAGAGAGGAGAGGUUUAUAUGUCUGAAGGUCAGGAUCAGAGAGGAGAGGAGAGGUUUAUAUGUCUGAAGGUCAGGAUCAGAGAGGAGAGGUUUAUAUGACUGAGGGUCAGGAUCAGGGAGGAGAGGUUUAUAUGUCUGAAGGUCGGGAUCAGGAAGGAGAGGAGAGGUUUAUAUGUCUGAAGGUCAGGAUCAGGGAGGAGAGGUUUAUAUGUCUGAAGGUCAGGAUCAGGGAGGAGAGGUUUAUAUGUCUGAAGGUCAGGAUCAGGGAGGAGAGGAGAGGUUUAUAUGUCUGACGGUCGGGAUCAGGGAGGGGAGGAGAGGUUUAUAUGUCUGAAGGUCAGGAUCAGGGAGGAGAGGUUUAUAUGUCUGAAGGUCGGGAUCAGGGAGGAGACGUUUAUAUGUCUGAAGGUCGGGAUCAGAGAGGAGAGGUUUAUA